AGAGUUUGAUCCUGGCUCAGGAUGAACGCUAGCGGCAGGCUUAAUACAUGCAAGUCGAGGGGUAAGGCUCUUUCGGGAGUACACGACCGGCGCACGGGUGCGUAACACGUAUACAACUUACCUCCAACUGGGGAAUAGCCCUGAGAAAUCGGGAUUAAUACCCCAUAAUAGAUUUAAUGACAUCAUUUUAUCUUGAAAGCUCCGGCGGUUGGAGAUGGGUAUGCGGGACAUUAGUUUGUUGGUGAGGUAACGGCUCACCAAGACUACGAUGUCUAGGGGUUCUGAGAGGAUGAUCCCCCACACUGGUACUGAGACACGGACCAGACUCCUACGGGAGGCAGCAGUAGGGAAUAUUGGGCAAUGGACGAAAGUCUGACCCAGCCAUGCCGCGUGAAGGAUGACAGCCCUAGUGGUUGUAAACUUCUUUUAUAUGGGAAGAAACCCCCCGACGUGUUGGGGGCUGACGGUACCAUACGAAUAAGCAUCGGCUAACUCCGUGCCAGCAGCCGCGGUAAUACGGAGGAUGCAAGCGUUAUCCGGAUUUAUUGGGUUUAAAGGGUGCGUAGGCGGAACAAUAAGUCAGGGGUGAAAGCCUACAGCUUAACUGUAGAAUUGCCUUUGAUACUGUUAUUCUUGAGUGUACAUGAAGUGGGCGGAAUGUGUUAUGUAGCGGUGAAAUGCAUAGAUAUGACACAGAACACCAAUUGCGAAGGCAGCUCACUAAACUACUACUGACGCUGAGGCACGAAAGCGUGGGGAGCAAACAGGAUUAGAUACCCUGGUAGUCCACGCCGUAAACUAUGAUUACUCGAUGUGUGCGAUACACAGUACGCGUCUAAGCGAAAGCAUUAAGUAAUCCACCUGGGGAGUACGAUCGCAAGGUUGAAACUCAAAGGAAUUGACGGGGGCCCGCACAAGCGGAGGAGCAUGUGGUUUAAUUCGAUGAUACGCGAGGAACCUUACCUGGGCUUAAAUGCUGAACGCCGAACCGGGAAACUGGUUUUUCUUCGGACGGACAGCAAGGUGCUGCAUGGUUGUCGUCAGCUCGUGCCGUGAGGAGGGUUAAGUCCCAUAACGAGCGCAACCCCUAUUCUUAGUUGCCAUCAGGUAAUGCUGGGGACUCUAAGAAAACUGCCUACGUAAGUAGUGAGGAAGGUGGGGAUGACGUCAAAUCAGCACGGCCCUUACGUCCAGGGCUACACACGUGCUACAAUGGCCGCCACAGAGGGUCGCUACCUGGUGACAGGAUGCUAAUCUCAAAAAGCGGUCUCAGUUCGGAUCGAAGUCUGCAACUCGACUUCGUGAAGCCGGAUUCGCUAGUAAUCGCAUAUCAGCAAUGGUGCGGUGAAUACGUUCCCGGGCCUUGUACACACCGCCGUCAAGCCAUGGAAGUUGGGGGUACCUGAAGUCGAUAACCGCAAGGAGUCGCCUAGGGUAAAACCGAUGACUGGGGCUAAGUCGUAACAAGGUA
RNAcentral lists this ribosomal RNA (1471 nucleotides) under metagenome. RNAcentral describes it as "bacterial SSU rRNA". It matches the Rfam family "Bacterial small subunit ribosomal RNA". The record is from RNAcentral.